GAAUACAGAUUAUAUUUAACUGAAAAUGCCCUCUUGCUCCUGCUGGUUCCCAUAGAAGGGGGAGAGACAGUAUUUUGAAAAGAUCACUCAGAAUCAUCAGUGUUCAUAGGUUACAUCUAAAACAAAGUAAACAGUGUGUGAUGUCCUCUCAACAGACACAAACCUGAUGACAAAAUGUAGAUUUGCCUGGUGUAGUUCAUCUAGAAUAUCAGAGAUUUUUUUUUUCUCUGAAGAGUGUAUUAUCACUUGAUUUCCAUAAAUAUUUGAUAUAUUCAUAUUCCCAAGUUUUCAUUUGUCCACUGCCUAAGCAGAUGGCUAAUAGUAUAAAAACUUGGAACUUAUUAAAAUUUCUGAAUCCCGAGCCAUUUUGCUUUAUUUUGAAGAGCAAAUUGAGUAUUUGAGUGUUUUAAGUCUAAGUGUGUAAUUCUUUCCACCUUGAUUAGAUAUUUAAAUUCUGUUCUAGAUGAACUAGUGAAAUCACAAUCAUGGAAAAGUUAAGAAAGAAGGCAAGAUCGGGCCUUUUAAAGAAAAAAGUCACUUAUGCCUCAGGAGGAGGUUCUGAGCCUCGGACUGCAUCUCAAGAGCGAGUCUUUGCUGAUUUGCUGAGUGUCUCUAUUGAAUGGUCGCUCUGUCCCUCUACCACGCUUCUCCUCUCUUCUCAGAUUGCUACCUACCAACCUGAAAUCAUCUGCCUGUGACCAAGAAGACGAGAGUCAACUUCAGGUUUCUUAAGCAAAAGAACAUUAAUAACCUCAAAAUUAUUAUCCAACCAGUCAAUUCUAAAGAAAAUCAGUCCUGAAUAUUCAUUGGAAGGACUGCUGCUGAAGCUGAAACUCCAAUGCUUUAGCCAUCUGAUGCGAGGAACUGACUCACUGGAAAAGGCCCUGAUGCUGGGAAAGAGUAAAGGCAGGAGAAGAAGGGGACGACAGAACAUGAGAUGAUUGGACGGCAUCACUGACUCAAUGGACAUGAGUCUGAGCAAGCUCCAGGAGUUGGUGAUGGACAGGGAAGCUUGGCAUGCUACGGUUCAUGGGGUUGCAAAGAGUAGGACAUGACUGAGUGACUGAACUGAACUGAACCUCAAAACAUAGCACAUGAAACAGUCCCUUGGUGCCCUGAGACCUUCCCUAAGCACUUUUUAAUUUUCUCUAGUUCCACAGAAUAAGAAGGCACCCUGUCUCUCUAGGGUUCCAGUUCCUUGGCUGUGUAAAACAGUCUAUGAUUCAGGGACGGUGAAUAGAAUUCAACACUCUGUAUUGCCUAGAGUCCUUAAAAACUAUAAGUUCAUUUCAUUUUUGCAUGUUUCUUAAUUGAAAGACAAUUCAAAGGGGGAAAAAAAAAUGUUGGAAAGGGCUUGGCUUGCCAAUGGGUGAGCUGUACCUUUGCUUUCAUGGCAUAGCAAGAGAAUGCUGGGGGCCUUACCUGGUUCUGCCAUUUUGCUAUCAAAAAAUAAAUCCCAUUCUGUUCAGUUUGCA
This 1475-nucleotide long non-coding RNA is filed under the name Bos indicus x Bos taurus (hybrid cattle). Its description in RNAcentral is "lncRNA (ENSBIXG00000017514.1)". Lineage: Eukaryota; Metazoa; Chordata; Mammalia; Artiodactyla; Bovidae. The record is from RNAcentral.